UACGUAGGUCCCGAGCGUUGUCCGGAUUUAUUGGGCGUAAAGCGAGCGCAGGUGGUUUAUUAAGUCUGGUGUAAAAGGCAGUGGCUCAACCAUUGUAUGCAUUGGAAACUGGUAGACUUGAGUGCAGGAGAGGAGAGUGGAAUUCCAUGCGUAGCGGUGAAAUGCGUAGAUAUAUGGAGGAACACCGGUGGCGAAAGCGGCUCUCUGGCCUGCAACUGACACUGAGGCUCGAAAGCGUGGGGAGCAAACAGG
Molecule: ribosomal RNA, 252 nt
Filed under: uncultured bacterium
Lineage: Bacteria
Description: partial 16S ribosomal RNA
Rfam family: Bacterial small subunit ribosomal RNA
Source: RNAcentral